RNAcentral lists this ribosomal RNA (615 nucleotides) under uncultured bacterium. Its description in RNAcentral is "bacterial SSU rRNA". It matches the Rfam family "Bacterial small subunit ribosomal RNA", at positions 338 to 946 of the family's 1533-position model. The record is from RNAcentral.
CCUACGGGAGGCAGCAGUGGGGAAUUUUGGACAAUGGGGGCAACCCUGAUCCAGCAAUGCCGCGUGAGUGAAGAAGGCCCUCGGGUUGUAAAGCUCUUUUGUCAGGGAAGAAACGGUGGUUCCUAAUACGAGCUGCUAAUGACGGUACCUGAAGAAUAAGCACCGGCUAACUACGUGCCAGCAGCCGCGGUAAUACGUAGGGUGCAAGCGUUAAUCGGAAUUACUGGGCGUAAAGCGUGCGCAGGCGGUUAUAUAAGACAGAGGUGAAAUCCCCGGGCUCAACCUGGGAACUGCCUUUGUGACUGUAUGACUAGAGUGUGUCAGAGGGGGGUAGAAUUCCACGUGUAGCAGUGAAAUGCGUAGAUAUGUGGAGGAAUACCGAUGGCGAAGGCAGCCCCCUGGGAUAACACUGACGCUCAUGCACGAAAGCGUGGGGAGCAAACAGGAUUAGAUACCCUGGUAGUCCACGCCCUAAACGAUGUCUACUAGUUGUCGGGACUUAAUUGUCUUGGUAACGCAGCUAACGCGUGAAGUAGACCGCCUGGGGAGUACGGUCGCAAGAUUAAAACUCAAAUGAAUUGACGGCUGAGAGNGCGAGACGACGACGAGGAGAGG